GUAAGGAAUAUUGGUCAAUGGACGAAAGUCUGAACCAGCCAUGCCGCGUGAAGGAUGAAGGCCCUCUGGGUUGUAAACUUCUUUUAUCUGGGACGAAAAAAGGGUAUUCUUACUCACUUGACGGUACCAGAGGAAUAAGCACCGGCUAACUCCGUGCCAGCAGCCGCGGUAAUACGGAGGGUGCAAGCGUUAUCCGGAUUCACUGGGUUUAAAGGGUGCGUAGGUGGGUAUUUAAGUCAGUGAUGAAAUCUCCGAGCUUAACUCGGAAACUGCCAUUGAUACUAUUUACCUUGAAUGCCCUGGAGGUAAGCGGAAUAUGUCAUGUAGCGGUGAAAUGCUUAGAUAUGACAUAGAACACCAAUUGCGAAGGCAGCUUACUACGGGGUGAUUGACACUGAGGCACGAAAGCGUGGGGAGCAAACAGGAUUAGAAACCCCUGUAGUCC
This 445-nucleotide ribosomal RNA is filed under the name uncultured bacterium. RNAcentral describes it as "partial 16S ribosomal RNA". It matches the Rfam family "Bacterial small subunit ribosomal RNA", at positions 354 to 796 of the family's 1533-position model. The record is from RNAcentral.